UACGGAGGAUCCAAGCGUUAUCCGGAAUCAUUGGGUUUAAAGGGUCCGUAGGUGGAUAAUUAAGUCAGAGGUGAAAUCCUGCAGCUCAACUGUAGAAUUGCCUUUGAUACUGGUUAUCUUGAAUUAUUGUGAAGUAGUUAGAAUAUGUAGUGUAGCGGUAGAAGUGCAUAGAUAUUACAUAGAAUACCCAAUUGCGAAGGCAGAUUACUAACAAUACAUUGACACUGAUGGACGAAAGCGUGGGGAGCGAACAGGAUUAGAUACCCGCGUAGU
Molecule: ribosomal RNA, 273 nt
Filed under: uncultured bacterium
Lineage: Bacteria
Description: partial 16S ribosomal RNA
Rfam family: Bacterial small subunit ribosomal RNA
Source: RNAcentral